UACGUAGGGUGCGAGCGUUGUCCGGAAUUACUGGGCGUAAAGAGCUCGUAGGUGGUUUGUCGCGUUGUUCGUGAAAACUCACAGCUUAACUGUGGGCGUGCGGGCGAUACGGGCAGACUGGAGUACUGCAGGGGAGACUGGAAUUCCUGGUGUAGCGGUGGAAUGCGCAGAUAUCAGGAGGAACACCGGUGGCGAAGGCGGGUCUCUGGGCAGUAACUGACGCUGAGGAGCGAAAGCAUGGGGAGCGAACAGG
This 253-nucleotide ribosomal RNA is filed under the name uncultured bacterium. RNAcentral describes it as "partial 16S ribosomal RNA". It matches the Rfam family "Bacterial small subunit ribosomal RNA", at positions 524 to 776 of the family's 1533-position model. The record is from RNAcentral.